GUGCCAGCAGCCGCGGUAAUACGUAGGUGGCAAGCGUUGUCCGGAAUUAUUGGGCGUAAAGCGCGCGCAGGCGGUCCCUUAAGUCUGAUGUGAAAUCCCACGGCUCAACCGUGGAAGGUCAUUGGAAACUGGGGGACUUGAGUACAGAAGAGGAAAGCGGAAUUCCAAGUGUAGCGGUGAAAUGCGUAGAGAUUUGGAGGAACACCAGUGGCGAAGGCGGCUUUCUGGUCUGUAACUGACGCUGAGGCGCGAAAGCGUGGGGAGCAAACAGGAUUAGAUACCCUGGUAGUCC
Molecule: ribosomal RNA, 292 nt
Filed under: uncultured microorganism
Description: partial 16S ribosomal RNA
Rfam family: Bacterial small subunit ribosomal RNA
Source: RNAcentral